RNAcentral lists this unclassified non-coding RNA (221 nucleotides) under Hevea brasiliensis (rubber tree). Lineage: Eukaryota; Viridiplantae; Streptophyta; Magnoliopsida; Malpighiales; Euphorbiaceae. The record is from RNAcentral.
AAAAAAAACAUUAUUUUUUAUUUGAAACAAGAAAAAAUGAAUUUUCUUAGUUGGCAGCAGCAGCGGCUCUACGACGGUCACGUUCUUCAGUGAUAGAGAGCUUGAUACCCUUACCCUUGGGGAGAGAGAUCAUGGGCUUGUUACCUUGACCAAUGAUGAAGACGUUGGAGAUACGGGUAGCGAAGACACGGUCCAAAGAGUCCUUGACGUGGACAAUUUCG